RNAcentral lists this ribosomal RNA (497 nucleotides) under uncultured bacterium. RNAcentral's name for it is "partial 16S ribosomal RNA". It matches the Rfam family "Bacterial small subunit ribosomal RNA", at positions 28 to 507 of the family's 1533-position model. The record is from RNAcentral.
GACGAACGCUGGCGGCGUGCCUAAUACAUGCAAGUAGAACGCUGAAGAGAGGAGCUUGCUCUUCUUGGAUGAGUUGCGCACGGGUGAGUAACGCGUAGGUAACCUGCCUUGUAGCGGGGGAUAACUAUUGGAAACGAUAGCUAAUACCGCAUAACAAUGGAUGACACAUGUCAUUUAUUUGAAAGGGGCAAUUGCUCCACUACAAGAUGGACCUGCGUUGUAUUAGCUAGUAGGUGAGGUAAUGGCUCACCUAGGCGACGAUACAUAGCCGACCUGAGAGGGUGAUCGGCCACACUGGGACUGAGACACGGCCCAGACUCCUACGGGAGGCAGCAGUAGGGAAGCUUCGGCAAUGGGGGCAACCCUGACCGAGCAACGCCGCGUGAGUGAAGAAGGUUUUCGGAUCGUAAAGCUCUGUUGUAAGUCAAGAACGGGUGUGAGAGUGGAAAGUUCACACUGUGACGGUAGCUUACCAGAAAGGGACGGCUAACUACGUG